This 28-nucleotide non-coding RNA is filed under the name Cricetulus griseus (Chinese hamster). The record is from RNAcentral. Lineage: Eukaryota; Metazoa; Chordata; Mammalia; Rodentia; Cricetidae.
GUUAUCUAACUGAACAUACUGUACAUGG